CCCAUCUAUAGGCGAGAGGGUGUGCGCGAGAGAGGGCGAAUUUGGGGCGUAGGGUGGGAUUGAGGGGGAUAGGGAGAAAGAAAGUUGUCACAAUGUGUAUUUGAUUACUGUUAUCAGGGAGAAAAGGUCUCAUUGUUGUAGCACUCCUUUUCUUUGCUGAUGUUGUGCCUGUUUCCCGUUUACGGAGAGCAACACCCAGCAGCAGUGACAAGACCACCCCAGCUACGCUGUCCGCCUACUACUUAUGCGUCAGAAUCACCAACCAGAUUUACACUGAGUCACUCAAUAAUCAAAGCUCUAAGGAGUACAAACAGCUGAGGAAACAGGUGGAACAGAUGAUGGAUGACGUCCACAGCCAUUUGCCAGAGUCUGACAAAUAUCUGGGUGUAUUUGAUAUAAUCUUCAGCUAGUGUGGUUGUGCUGUAGGCAGAGAGAUGGAAGCUUCAGACCAUAUAACCAGAUCAACCACAGGGCAGACAUCCAAAUGUACUCCACACACAGCCGCUUCGACGUGCCCAACGGCAAGCCUAAUAAGCUCCAGUCAAUUGGGUAAGAAGACCAUCUGAAAUGACCUUAUGAAGUAAUAUGCAUGGGAGCAAUGACAAUUCUGUACAAAUGGUCCAAUUAUCUCUGAAGAUCAUGGCGUUGGCUCACUGAUUGUAAUUUCAACCUGUAUUUAUUCAAAUCAAAUCACAUUGAUUUAUAAAGCCCUUUUUACAUCAGCUGAUGUCACAAAGUGCUAUACAGAAACCCAGUCUAAAACCCCAAACAGCAAGCAAUGCAGAUGUCCUGUUAUUUUAUUCCUAAUGUUUUUACCAGUGGAGGCUGCUGAGGGGAGGACGGCUCAUAAUAAUAGCCGGAAUGGAGUCAAUGGAAUGGUAUCAAACACGUGGUUUCCAUGUGGUUGUUACCAUUCCAUU
RNAcentral lists this long non-coding RNA (920 nucleotides) under Salmo salar (Atlantic salmon). RNAcentral's name for it is "lncRNA (ENSSSAG00000087579.1)". The record is from RNAcentral. Lineage: Eukaryota; Metazoa; Chordata; Actinopteri; Salmoniformes; Salmonidae.